AUUGAACGCUGGCGGCAUGCUUUACACAUGCAAGUCGAACGGGGUGAGGGGGUAACUCUUCAUUCAGUGGCGAACGGGUGAGUAAUGCAUCGGAACGUACCCUGUAGUGGGGGAUAACGCCGGGAAACCGGCGCUAAUACCGCAUAUUUCUCUGUGGAGGAAAGCGGGGGACCUGUUAGAGGGCCUCGCGCUAUGGGGAGCGGCCGAUGUCCGAUUAGCUAGUUGGUGGGGUAAUGGCCCACCAAGGCUGCGAUCGGUAGCUGGUCUGAGAGGAUGAUCAGCCACACUGGGACUGAGACACGGCCCAGACUCCUACGGGAGGCAGCAGUGGGGAAUUUUGGACAAUGGGGGCAACCCUGAUCCAGCCAUGCCGCGUGAGUGAAGAAGG
This 388-nucleotide ribosomal RNA is filed under the name uncultured bacterium. RNAcentral's name for it is "bacterial SSU rRNA". It matches the Rfam family "Bacterial small subunit ribosomal RNA", at positions 30 to 414 of the family's 1533-position model. The record is from RNAcentral.